UCCUAUCUGUGCGAUAUCGGAAUUAAGUAGUCAAAUCGCUCCACCAACUAAGAACGGCCAUGCAUCACCACCCACAGAAUCGAGAAAGAGCUAUCAAUCUGUCAAUCCUUUCCGUGUCCGGGCUGAGUGAGGUUUCCCGUGUUGAUAGCUCUUUCUCGAUUCUUUGG
Molecule: long non-coding RNA, 167 nt
Organism: Chelonia mydas (Green sea turtle)
Lineage: Eukaryota; Metazoa; Chordata; Testudines; Cheloniidae
Exons: 7
Source: RefSeq, a predicted model, not a curated record